RNAcentral lists this ribosomal RNA (253 nucleotides) under uncultured bacterium. RNAcentral describes it as "partial 16S ribosomal RNA". It matches the Rfam family "Bacterial small subunit ribosomal RNA", at positions 524 to 776 of the family's 1533-position model. The record is from RNAcentral.
UACAGAGGUCUCAAGCGUUGUUCGGAUUCAUUGGGCGUAAAGGGUGUGUAGGUGGCGCCGUAAGUCGGUUGUGAAAUUUCGGAGCUUAACUCCGAAACUGCAUUCGAUACUGCGGUGCUUGAGGACUGGAGAGGAGACUGGAAUUCAUGGUGUAGCAGUGAAAUGCGUAGAGAUCAUGAGGAAGACCAGUGGCGAAGGCGGGUCUCUGGACAGUUCCUGACACUGAGACACGAAGGCCAGGGGAGCAAACGGG